GAUCAGCAUCAGACUGGACAGUUUCCUUUUGGUUCCCUUGAUGCAAAAUGUGCCUGUUGAGAAGGCAUCUGUUUAAGGGAUUACAGAGUGCAAAUGGUGAUGUGCAGAGACCUCUAGAGACCACAGCGCCUUACUGCACUUAAUCACAUGCAGAUAGGGCUCCGUGCCGAAGUCAUGACGUCAUCGGGAACGGUGAAACUGGCCAGAAAAUGAACAAGGUAACUAGCUAUAGCUUGAGAGGCCGGACUCGCAAAUGUCGCAUGGUUUGGGCUUUUCCCGCCCCCCUACCUCCACUUCUAAAUGAGUUAAUUAAGAUGAGAAAACUGAAUUUCAGAAAGAAGACACAACUAGUUCGCAGUUCCAAACAAAUAAGAGAUAGAAAGGAUGUGAAACCCGACUCCCUUGACUCCAAAUCCAGCCUUCUCUCCACUGCCUCAUAGUAAAUGUGUCUUCUUUGCAGAUGUGUAUUUGUGUAAACCUGUGUGUACAUGUUGGGAUACCAAAUAUAAGUAUUUUCCUUAACAGAUAUAUUUCUGAUUUGUCCAAAUAUCUUGAAGUUCUUUCAUCCUAACUUGGGAAUCUCUAAUCUUUCCAAUACCCCAAACCUGUCAAAAAACAAUUUUUUCCUUUACUCUUCUAUGACUUUUCACAGUUGCUUAAAAUCUCUUUUUUUCUUAUUGAAAUUAAAAAAAAAUUAAAGACAGACCACAGGAAGUGAUUGAGAUGGAAUACAACAAAAAGACUGUGUGACAUGGAACAAAGAUUCCAGCAGACCAGAUUUUGGGGACCAGGACUAAAGUUGCUACUCAGUGAUUAAGUGACCAAUUUAUCUUAUUUAAUUUGAUUCAACAUUUAUUGAGUAUCAAUUUGGGCAAGACACUGAGGCUAUCAAAGUGAAAAAAAUGGUCCAUUUCCUCUGAAAGCUUCUGAACAAUGUAGUACAUUAAAAAAAAAAAAAAGAGGAAGUCCAAGUGAAGAAGGAACAUGGAAUAACAGUGUACAUGGAGUUGGUUGGCCUAAGAGUAAGGAGGAACUUUGGCUCAAGUUCUACUUGGGACAAACAACGAUGGUCAAACCUUUUAUUUAUUGCCUUUGCAUUGAGGAGGACCCCAAUUUCAUUUCAAUAACCAAGAUAGGCUUUUGUCAAGUAACAAGCAAGCAGCAAUUUUUGAUAAACUUUGUAAAAUGUCAUUUAUUGAUGAAUUUUUAUAACUUUGCAUUUAGACGAAAUUGUGUUUUGCCUGUAUAAGUGGAUCUCUUUAGGAUCUGUAACAUACUGACUUUUUGGAAACUCUUUCCUAAAAGGCAAAAGGCAAAACACAUAAAAAAUGUUUUUGUAUAGGUGAGACCCUCGAGAAAAGUCCUGGAUUAGGUGUAUGAACUAAAUGUUCAAAAGUCCAGUUUUCUCAAGAUGACUUUUUUUUUUAUUGGAAAGAGUUU
This is a long non-coding RNA of Monodelphis domestica (gray short-tailed opossum), 1440 nucleotides long. The record is from Ensembl. NCBI's taxonomy places the organism in Eukaryota, Metazoa, Chordata, Mammalia, Didelphimorphia, Didelphidae.